Non-coding RNA from Felis catus (domestic cat), 68 nucleotides. NCBI's taxonomy places the organism in Eukaryota, Metazoa, Chordata, Mammalia, Carnivora, Felidae. The record is from Rfam.
UUGGCGCGUUCGAAGCAGUGUCCAAAAUCUUUCCUGCAUUUUCAGGGGGGGCGCUGGGCUUACAGAAG